AGGGUUUGAUUAUGGCUCAGGAUGAACGCUGGCGGCGUGCUUAACACAUGCAAGUCGAACGAAGCAUUUACGACAGAUUUCUUCGGAUUGAAGUUGUUUAUGACUGAGUGGCGGACGGGUGAGUAACGCGUGGGUAACCUGCCUCAUACAGGGGGAUAGCAGCUGGAAACGGCUGGUAAUACCGCAUAAGCGCACGGUAUCGCAUGAUACAGUGUGAAAAACUCCGGUGGUAUGAGAUGGACCCGCGUCUGAUUAGCUGGUUGGUGAGGUAACGGCCCACCAAGGCGACGAUCAGUAGCCGACCUGAGAGGGUGACCGGCCACAUUGGGACUGAGACACGGCCCAG
This 346-nucleotide ribosomal RNA is filed under the name uncultured bacterium. Its description in RNAcentral is "bacterial SSU rRNA". It matches the Rfam family "Bacterial small subunit ribosomal RNA", at positions 8 to 334 of the family's 1533-position model. The record is from RNAcentral.